Molecule: ribosomal RNA, 406 nt
Filed under: uncultured bacterium
Lineage: Bacteria
Description: partial 16S ribosomal RNA
Rfam family: Bacterial small subunit ribosomal RNA
Source: RNAcentral
AUUGAACGCUGGCGGCAGGCCUAACACAUGCAAGUCGAACGAGUGGCGGACGGGUGAGUAAUGUCUGGGAAACUGCCCGAUGUAGGGGGAUAACUACUGGAAACGGUGGCUAAUACCGCAUACCAUCGGAUAGGCGCAGAUGGGGUUGGCUUGUAGGGGAGGUAACGGCUCACCUAGGCGACGAUCCCCAGCUGGGCUGAGAGGAUGACCAGUCACACUGGAACUGAUACACGGUCCAGACUCCUACGGGAGGCAGCAGUGGGGAAUAUUGCACAAUGGGCGAAAGCCUGAUGCAGCCAUGCCGCGUGUAUGAAGAAGGCCUUCGGGUUGUAAAGUACUUUCAGCGGGGAGGCGUUACCCGCAGAAGAAGCACCGGCUAACUCCGUGCCAGCAGCCGCGGUAAUUC